UGAGCAAUCUGCCCAUCUCUUUGGAAUAAGCGUUGGAAACGACGCCUAAUGCCGAAUACGACCUCCUUUCGCAUGAUCGGAGGUGGAAAGCUCCGGCGGAGAUGGAUGAGCUCGCGGCCUAUCAGCUAGUUGGUGAGGUAAUGGCACCAGGGCGACGACGGGUAGCCGGCCUGAGAGGGUGACCGGCCACACUGGGACUGAGACACGGCCCAGACUCCGUAGGA
Molecule: ribosomal RNA, 224 nt
Filed under: uncultured bacterium
Lineage: Bacteria
Description: partial 16S ribosomal RNA
Rfam family: Bacterial small subunit ribosomal RNA
Source: RNAcentral